Molecule: ribosomal RNA, 468 nt
Filed under: uncultured bacterium
Lineage: Bacteria
Description: partial 16S ribosomal RNA
Rfam family: Bacterial small subunit ribosomal RNA
Source: RNAcentral
GACGAACGCUGGCGGCGUGCUUAACACAUGCAAGUCGAACGGAAAGGCCCUGCUUUUGUGGGGUGCUCGAGUGGCGAACGGGUGAGUAACACGUGAGUAACCUGCCCUUGACUUUGGGAUAACUUCAGGAAACUGGGGCUAAUACCGGAUAGGAGCUCCUGCUGCAUGGUGGGGGUUGGAAAGUUUCGGCGGUUGGGGAUGGACUCGCGGCUUAUCAGCUUGUUGGUGGGGUAGUGGCUUACCAAGGCUUUGACGGGUAGCCGGCCUGAGAGGGUGACCGGCCAAAUUGGGACUGAGCUACGGCCCAACCUCCUACGGGAGGCAGCAGUGGGGAAUAUUGACAAAUGGGGGGAAGCCUGAUGCAGCAACGCCGCGUGCGGGAUGACGGCCUUCGGGUUGUAAACCGCUUUCGCCUGUGACGAAGCGUGAGUGACGGUAAUGGGUAAAGAAGCACCGGCUAACUACGUG